AAUAGAUACCCGGGUAGUCCACGCCGUAAACGAUGGGUACUAGGUGUGGGAGUUGUCAUGACUUCCGUGCCGCCGUUAACACAAUAAGUACCCCGCCUGGGGAGUACGGUCGCAAGAUUAAAACUCAAAGGAAUUGACGGGGGCCCGCACAAGCAGCGGAGCAUGUGGUUUAAUUCGAAGCAACGCGAAGAACCUUACCUAGACUUGACAUCUCCUGAAUUACCCUUAACCGGGGAAGCCCUUCGGGGCAGGAAGACAGGUGGUGCAUGGUUGUCGUCAGCUCGUGUCGUGAGAUGUUGGGUUAAGUCCCGCAACGAGCGCAACCCUUAUUAUUAGUUGCUUACCAUUAAGUUGAGCACUCUAGUAAGACUGCCCGGGUUAACCGGGAGGAAGGUGGGGAUGACGUCAAAUCAUCAUGCCCCUUAUGUCUAGGGCUACACACGUGCUACAAUGGUAGGUACAACAAGAUGCAAAGCCGUGAGGCGGAGCAAAACUGUAAAACCUAUCCCAGUUCGGAUUGAAGGCUGAAACUCGCCUUCAUGAAGCCGGAGUUGCUAGUAAUCGACG
This 567-nucleotide ribosomal RNA is filed under the name uncultured bacterium. RNAcentral describes it as "bacterial SSU rRNA". It matches the Rfam family "Bacterial small subunit ribosomal RNA", at positions 777 to 1347 of the family's 1533-position model. The record is from RNAcentral.